CAUGGAUCCAGAGAAACAAGUCAAUAAGUCAAAUCAAGAUGUGCAUGUGUGGCGAAUGAAUGGUGUAUGGUGAUGAUGGUGAUAAUGGUGAAAGUCUAAUUCUACUUUUGCUCUUUUGAGGGGGUACGUACCUUCCUUGCACUUUGAAGCUUUUUGAGGACAAUGAGAUGCUCUAUAUUUUUUCUUUUCUCUCAGGUGGGUAUCUUGUACCCCUAAUUCUACUGUUGGACACUUGUCCAUUUUUACCUCUCGUCUCACUUUUUCUUUUCUUCGAGGUUCCGGGCACUUGCCCCUUUUUAUUUCCUCGUAUUCAUUUUUUUCAGAGCACUCAUCUUCCUAGAAUAAUAUAGCAAGUGGUAGUAACCAAGAUAACUUGAGCAUUUAUUUAUAGGGAAUAACAGGGAUAGGAGAAUGUUUUUGGUUAUUCUCUCUCGGAUAGGAGUAGAAUAAUUUUAGGUGGAUCUGGAGAUGGAAAUGAGU
This 480-nucleotide long non-coding RNA is filed under the name Sorghum bicolor (sorghum). RNAcentral describes it as "long non-coding RNA (SBIC_LNC018132)". The record is from RNAcentral. Lineage: Eukaryota; Viridiplantae; Streptophyta; Magnoliopsida; Poales; Poaceae.